UGGGGAAUAUUGGACAAUGGGCGAAAGCCUGAUCCAGCGACGCCGCGUGGGUGAAGAAGGCCUGCGGGUUGUAAAGCCCUUUCGGUGGGGAAGAAAAGCCUCGUUUUAAUACAGCGGGGUCUUGACGUAACCCAAGAAAGAAGCACCGGCUAACUCUGUGCCAGCAGCCGCGGUAAUACGUAGGGAGCAAGCGUUGUUCGGAUUUACUGGGCGUAAAGGGCGCGUAGGCGGCGCGGUAAGUCACUUGUGAAAUCUCUGAGCUUAACUCAGAACGGCCAAGUGAUACUGCAGUGCUAGAGUGCAGAAGGGGCAAUCGGAAUUCUUGGUGUAGCGGUGAAAUGCGUAGAUAUCAAGAGGAACACCUGAGGUGAAGACGGGUUGCUGGGCUGACACUGACGCUGAGGCGCGAAAGCCAGGGGAGCAAA
This 425-nucleotide ribosomal RNA is filed under the name uncultured bacterium. Its description in RNAcentral is "bacterial SSU rRNA". It matches the Rfam family "Bacterial small subunit ribosomal RNA", at positions 355 to 772 of the family's 1533-position model. The record is from RNAcentral.